Solanum tuberosum (potato) is the source of this 803-nucleotide long non-coding RNA. RefSeq lists it as uncharacterized. The transcript is spliced from 3 exons. Lineage: Eukaryota; Viridiplantae; Streptophyta; Magnoliopsida; Solanales; Solanaceae. The record is from RefSeq and is a predicted model, not a curated record.
CUAUUGUUUCUUUCCCAUUCCAGAAUGUUCUCUUCAUCUCACUUUUUCUCUUCUUUCUCACCAAUCUCUCCAAAUCCGAACUCUAAUCAUGGAUCCAAACAUCAAGAAGAAGUCAAGAACGAUCAAGAACUUAUAUUAAUUUCAUUUCACUUGAUAAUAUUUCAAUUGUAAUCAUAACCCGACAAGUAUCCAUUCACUCUUGCUUACGACUAAAGCUUUCUCUUUCAUCCUCGGAGCCUUCAGAAUAUCAAAGAAAUACCCACUUUCUUCAUCCUUUCAACUAGCUUACAAGUCCAGAAGUAGAUCAUCGGCUAUUCUCCUAAACAGAACAACCUUCUAUUCUCUUUCUUCAGCGCCAACACAACUGUGAUCUUUAAUUGAUACAUAGCCGCUGGGAAUCGUGGUUCCUCAAGGCUACCAUGCCUCCAACUCUGUCAUUUGGACUAACAAUGACGAUUCAAUAUUGGUUCAAUGUACAAGGAGUUGAUUUUUUUAGGCUCUAAAAAGCAUUUGGUCUACCUCAAUGCCAACAAAUGAUGUGCAACAAUUCUCCAAGGUAAGUUCCAUUCAAGUUAUUUUGAAAAUUUUGGGUUAGAAUGUUGUGGCAUGCUUAAAUAUCAACAAAUCUAUCUGUAAGAUAACAUAUAUCGUGUUUGAAAAUUGAUGCUCAUGUCGGGGAUGUGAAUGAUCUUGGCAUUGGUUACCCGAAUAACAAUUAUGUGUAGUUAUGUCGAGAUGUAAAGUAGAUGAUGCUAACAUCUAAACUCUUCUUGCGGGAAUCUAUAAUAUGUAGUUGUGAAUUA